CAAUGAGAUCCUGUCCAUUGAGGAACGCGCUUUUGAGCCACUGCCUUUCCUGAAGCUUCUAAACCUCUCUGGGAAUGGCCUCACGCAGAUCCACAGCGGCACUUUCCAGGCCUGGCAUGGGAUGCAGUUUCUCCAGGAGCUGAUCCUCAGCCAUAACCCGCUGGCUGUCAUUGAUGACGCCGCCUUCUUCAAGCUGCCCUCGGUGACUUCUCUAGACCUGAGUGCCACCCAAGUGACUCCGCAGACGCUGCUGCUGCUCCUGCA
Catharus ustulatus (Swainson's thrush) is the source of this 264-nucleotide long non-coding RNA. RefSeq lists it as uncharacterized. The transcript is spliced from 4 exons. NCBI's taxonomy places the organism in Eukaryota, Metazoa, Chordata, Aves, Passeriformes, Turdidae. The record is from RefSeq and is a predicted model, not a curated record.